RNAcentral lists this ribosomal RNA (661 nucleotides) under uncultured bacterium. RNAcentral describes it as "bacterial SSU rRNA". It matches the Rfam family "Bacterial small subunit ribosomal RNA", at positions 377 to 1028 of the family's 1533-position model. The record is from RNAcentral.
GCAAGCCUGAUCCAGCAAUGCCGCGUGUGUGAAGAAGGCCUUCGGGUUGUAAAGCACUUUUGUUAGGGAGGAAAGUCUGGUAGCUAAUAACUGCUAGAUCUGACGUUACCUAAAGAAUCAGCACCGGCUAACUCUGUGCCAGCAGCCGCGGUAAUACAGAGGGUGCAAGCGUUAAUCGGAAUUACUGGGCGUAAAGGGUCUGUAGGCGGAUUAUUAAGUCGGAUGUGAAAUCCCCGGGCUCAACCUGGGAACGGCAUUCGAUACUGGUAGUCUAGAGUGUGCAAGAGGAUGGGGGAAUUCCUGGUGUAGCAGUGAAAUGCGUAGAGAUCAGGAGGAACAUCAAUGGCGAAGGCACCUUUCUGGGGCAACACUGACGCUGAGAGACGAAAGCGUGGGGAGCAAACAGGAUUAGAUACCCUGGUAGUCCACGCCCUAAACGAUGUCAACUAACUGUUCGGAGUCACUAAGAUUCUGAGUAGUGAAGCUAACGCGAUAAGUUGACCGCCUGGGGAGUACGGCCGCAAGGUUGAAACUCAAAGAAAUUGACGGGGGCCCGCACAAGCGGUGGAGUAUGUGGUUUAAUUCGAUGCAACGCGAAGAACCUUACCCGGUCUUGACAUGGUAGGAAUCUUGUAGAGAUACGAGAGUGCCUUCGGGAACC